RNAcentral lists this ribosomal RNA (497 nucleotides) under uncultured bacterium. RNAcentral describes it as "partial 16S ribosomal RNA". It matches the Rfam family "Bacterial small subunit ribosomal RNA", at positions 28 to 507 of the family's 1533-position model. The record is from RNAcentral.
GAUGAACGCUGGCGGCGUGCCUAAUACAUGCAAGUCGAGCGAACAGACGAGGAGCUUGCUCCUCUGACGUUAGCGGCGGACGGGUGAGUAACACGUGGAUAACCUACCUAUAAGACUGGGAUAACUUCGGGAAACCGGAGCUAAUACCGGAUAAUAUUUUGAACCGCAUGGUUCAAUAGUGAAAGACGGUUUUGCUGUCACUUAUAGAUGGAUCCGCGCCGCAUUAGCUAGUUGGUAAGGUAACGGCUUACCAAGGCAACGAUGCGUAGCCGACCUGAGAGGGUGGUCGGCCACACUGGAACUGAGACACGGUCCAGACUCCUACGGGAGGCAGCAGUAGGGAAUCUUCCGCAAUGGGCGAAAGCCUGACGGAGCAACGCCGCGUGAGUGAUGAAGGUCUUCGGAUCGUAAAACUCUGUUAUUAGGGAAGAACAAAUGUGUAAGUAACUAUGCACGUCUUGACGGUACCUAAUCAGAAAGCCACGGCUAACUACGUG